AUUGAACGCCGGCGGCAGGCCUAACACAUGCAAGUCGAGCGGAUGAAGGGAGCUUGCUCCUGGAUUCAGCGGCGGACGGGUGAGUAAUGCCUAGGAAUCUGCCUGGUAGUGGGGGAUAACGUCCGGAAACGGGCGCUAAUACCGCAUACGUCCUGAGGGAGAAAGUGGGGGAUCUUCGGACCUCACGCUAUCAGAUGAGCCUAGGUCGGAUUAGCUAGUUGGUGGGGUAAAGGCCUACCAAGGCGACGAUCCGUAACUGGUCUGAGAGGAUGAUCAGUCACACUGGAACUGAGACACGGUCCAGACUCCUACGGGAGGCAGCAGUGGGGAAUAUUGGACAAUGGGCGAAAGCCUGAUCCAGCCAUGCCGCGUGUGUGAAGAAGGUCUUCGGAUUGUAAAGCACUUUAAGUUGGGAGGAAGGGCAGUAAGUUAAUACCUUGCUGUUUUGACGUUACCAACAGAAUAAGCACCGGUUAACUUCGUG
This 484-nucleotide ribosomal RNA is filed under the name uncultured bacterium. RNAcentral's name for it is "partial 16S ribosomal RNA". It matches the Rfam family "Bacterial small subunit ribosomal RNA", at positions 30 to 507 of the family's 1533-position model. The record is from RNAcentral.